RNAcentral lists this ribosomal RNA (253 nucleotides) under uncultured bacterium. RNAcentral's name for it is "partial 16S ribosomal RNA". It matches the Rfam family "Bacterial small subunit ribosomal RNA", at positions 524 to 776 of the family's 1533-position model. The record is from RNAcentral.
GACAGAGGCCUCAAGCGUUAGGCGGAAUCACUGGGCUUAAAGCGUGUGUAGGCGGGUCGUUAAGUGUCUUGUGAAAUCCCACGGCUCACCCGUGGAACUGCUGGGCAUACUGGCGAUCUUGGGCCAACUAGGGGCAGCCGGAACAAGCGGUGGAGCGGUGAAAUGCGUAGAUAUCGCUUGGAACGCCGAAGGUGAAAACAGGCUGCUGGGGUUGUGCCGACGCUGAGACACGAAAGCCAGGGGAGCAAACGGG